GCGAUAUCUGGACCAAGGAAGGGGAAUGUGUUAUCUGUGAGAAGGUAAGUGCUAACUAGGUGAGACAGAGAGACCAAAGGGGUCUCUUAGGUGAGGUCUAUAAAAAGGGUUUGGGGAAUAACAGAGCAUUGUGUCUUGGUUGCUGUUAGGGCUCUAAUCCAUAUCGCCAUGGAGCUCCAUGGCUCCAUCUAAUUAACGGGACGUUUCUCUGUGGGAGAGACGAUAAAUGUCUGGAAGCAGAUACAAGGACUUGUGUCCCUACCUACUCCUUUGGCUUGCCUUGAGCACUCUACAGAGAGAGGGACUUAUAGAAAGAAACUGAUAGAGCAAUUCAAGCUGGACACCCCAAAAUUCAGGGCAAAGCAGAGCCACUCAAGGACCCAGGUGGCCUGCUGUAGCUCAGAAGCAAUUCCAUCCUCAACCCCCAGGAAACACUCUGCUCCAGGGCCUCUCUCGAUGGUUUAUGCAGAAGCAAUGCUUUUCCAACGGGAUUCCUAAGCCACAGUCAGGAAGCAGUGGUGCUAAAGAGAAAAAAAAAAAAGGCAAGAAGCUGCCUGGUGAUUACAGAGAUAGGCUGGUUUGUGUGCUCUUGUGAGGCUCUUCUCAGCGCCUCCCCGACAGACCUGGGGCACUCUGAGGGAGCAGAGGUUCCCUGUUGCACUUGUGGGGGCUGUGGAAUCUGGUAGCUGCCCUGCUCUAGGGUGGAUGAUCUAAGAAAGAGCAAGAAGAAAGCUGCAUGUCGCUUAUGACCUAGCCUCAUGAGUCACACACCAGCACUUACACCAUCCAUUAUACUUUGUUAUGUUUCUUUCUUUCUUUUUUUUUUUUUUUUAAUGUUUACUUAUUCUUGACAGAGAGAGACAGAGACAGAGCAUGAGUGGGUGAGGGUCAGAGAGAGAGACAGACACAGAAUCCGAAGCAGGCUCCAGGCUCUGAGCUGUCAGCACAGAGCCCAGUGUGGGGUUCGAACUCACAAACCGUGAGAUCAUGAUCUGAGCCAAAGUCGGACACUUAGCCGACUGAGCCACCCAGGCGCCCCUGCUUUAUUAUGUUUCUAAGACCAGCUGACACUCAAGGGGAGGGGAGUUAAAUUCCAUCCUUUGAAGAGAAAAGUGGCAUGGAUUUAUGCACAUAUUUUAAAACAACAGCAACCAAGCAUGCAUCCUCACAGUCUGCACCGCUAGAAAACAUUACUGGAAGUGAAGAGAAUUACUAGUUAGUAAGUGUUAUUAUGAUAAGCGAUUAGCCAUUUGGAAAAAAACAACAAGAAAACAAAAACUUAGAUCCCUAUCUCACAUUUUGCACCAAAUUGAAUCCCAGAUAAUUGAAAUAGUUAAGUGUACAAAAGUACUAGAAGAAGGGCACCUGGGUGGUUAAGUGCCUGACUUCAGCUUAGGUCAUGAUCUCAUGGUUCAUGGGUUUGAGCUCCGCGUCGGGCUCUGUGCUGACAGCUCAGAGCCUGGAGUCUGCUUCAGAUUCUGUGUCUCCCUCUCUCUCUCUGCCCCUCCCCUGCUCAUGCUGUGUCUCUCCGUCUCUCCAAAAUAAGUAAACAUUAAAAACAAAACAAAACAAAUCAAAAGUACUGGAAGAAAAUUUGGAUACAUUUAAGUAGAGUGCAUAUGGGAGUCUGUCUUGUUCAAAUUAUUGCAAACUCGGGCUUUUAAGGGAAGUUUCAAUGGGUUUAUAAGAAAUGACUUUCAUCGGUUAAAAAAAAUGAAGUAGAGAAGGAUAUUGAAUUAUGACAUCAAAGCUUAGCCAGCACAAAAGAAAUAAUUAAUUGAUAAGAUCACGUAUGACAAUUAAACACUGCAGAAGAUAAAAACAAGUAAAAGAGAAAUGAAAGCUGGGCAGAAAUAUUUGACACUUACAAGAUAUACAAGAAUGAAACUCUUCGUAUAAAAAAGAGCUCUUACACAUUCAUGUGUGUGUGGGGGGGAAGAUUCUAAAAUGUGUCCCAGAAGUAUGUCUUUUCUCUGAAUAGCAUGUGUGCAAGGAGAAGGUUGUGUCCACGGUGUCCGCACUGCCCACAGAGCAUUACACAGGGGUGGGACUCAUGUUGGGUGAGUCUGUUGAUUGCAGCUCUUCAUUUCAGUUCCCAAAAUGCCUGCAUAUAUUUCUUCUCCUCACCCUUCACUUCUCUCUCACUUAAAGAAAUCUCAUUCAGAUACUUCCUGUGCAGUUUGUGACUCACAGCAAGAUUAUGGCCCAGGCAGUGCUGAUUUCAGCAAGAAAUCCUCCCCACAGCAUAAAUUGGGUCCCUGCGAUGCCCAGAGUAAAUUGCAACUAGGAAGUCCGUACGUACAUUCAGCACGUCCUUCUUAUGCCCUUACUAUGAAUCUGGAGUACCCCCCACCCCCGCUUUUUUUUAUCUGAGUGUGCGCCUAAGGGAGGGUGCAGACAAGAAGCCUGGUCAAGAAGAAAGGGCAUGGCCUGGACAUCAGGGUUUGGGGCUAGCUCUACUGCUUUUCAUCUGUGUGACCAGACAGAGCCCUACCAAUCCUGGGCCUCAGUUGCUCCCAGUGUAAAAUGAGUUGGGGGACUAGGUGGUCGCCACAGAGUCUUCCAGCUCUAACAUUCAAGGAUUCAGCUCGUUUUCUUUUUUUUUUUUUUUAACACGUGGGCUCUAAUAGGUGUUUAACCUAACGAGAAGUUUUGGAAGUCCCUUGAGAGUCCUUUUCAGAUUUUGGAAUCCACUGAGAGUAAAACAGAAAGUGCUUUCAAUUACUGAAGUUGUUCCUCCAUUUUCUAAAAAAAGAUUCCAUUCCACUCAUUUGGAAAAAGUAAAAUUGCAAACAGAGUGAAAUGACUAAGGAGGCAGUAGUUAGUUUAGGUGGUGAGUCUCAGAGAAGGUCUCCUUCUUCUGAUCCGGCCCCAAAUGUGGGUGUGGGAGCCAGUGGGGGCCACACAUUUUAGACUUCGUUUUCCUGGACAUGCUAUUGAUACAAGGAUGGCAUGACUUACAUGAUGGUGGGCGAGAAGGUCUCCGUCCCUAAGUCUAAACUAUCCCCACUGCUGCUAAAUUGGGAGGAUGUAGGUCUGAGCAGCGGGCGGCCGUCUUUCUAGUACAUGGAAAGAACCUGAUAUGGAAUGAGGCCAAGUGGAGGCGACAGAGAUGAGAGGUGGAGAGAGUGUCAUGGAAAGAAGACACCAAAGAAACAAGAAACAAGAGGGAGAUUCAGGGGGGAGGGGCAAGAGAGAAAGUGAGGCAACUUCUUCCUGAAGCUGAAACCUUGGUUCCUAUAAUUUCCCCUUAAGAUUCUGUAGGCUACCUGAUUAUCUUCCCGGCUACAUGAGUAAAUAAAUCCUCUCUUUGCUUCAGAUAAUUUGAAUUUGGAAGUGUCCUGAAUAAUGUACUAGUGUAUCUCCAUGAAGCUCUUUUUUUUCUUUUUACAUAAUAUUUAUUGUCAAGUUGGCUAACAUACAGUGUAUACAGUGUGCUCUUGGUUUUGGGGGUAGAUUCCCAUGUUUCAUUGCUAACAUACAACACCCAGUGCUCAUCCCAACAAGUGCCCUCCUCAAUGCCCAUCACCCAUUUUCCCCUCUUCCCUGCUCCCCCCAUCAACCCUCAGUUUGUUUUCUGUGUUUAAGAGUUUCUUAUGGUUUGCCUCCCUCCCUCUCUGUUUGUAACUAUUUCCCCCCUUCCCCUCCCCCAUGGUCUUCUGUUAAGUUUCUCAGGUUCCACUUAUGAGUGAAAACAUAUGAUAUGUGUCUUUCUCUGACUGACUUAUUUCAUUUAGCAUAAUACCCUCCAGUUCCAUCCACGUUGCUGCAAAUGGCAGGAUUUCAUUCUUUGUCAUUGCCAAGUAGUAUUCCAUUAUAUAUAUAGACCACAUCUUCUUUAUCCAUUCAUCAGUUGAUGGACAUUUAGGCUCUUUCCAGGAAGCUCUCUUAAAUUAUAAAGGUGUUAUCCAGAGGGAUGACACAUGAUACCAGUAAUGUAGGUUAGGUUUUCAGAUAAGCUAUGACUACUAUAUAGAACAUAAAUUUUGAUAAAGAAGAUAAAGCAAGAGUAUUGCUAGAGGUUAUUGCUAGAAAAGGAGGAAUCCUCAUACACUGUCAGGAGGAUGUAAAAUGGUGCAGCCACUAUGGAAAACAGUUGGAUACUUCCCCCCCAAAAUUGAACUUCUGUUGUGGAAUUAAGAAACAAAACAAACAAGCAAAGGGAAAAAGAGAGAGAGAACCAAGAAACAGACUCCACAGAACAAACUGAUAGCUACCAGAGGGGAGGUGAGAGGUGAGGAUGGGUGAAGUAGGUGAUGGGGAUUAAGGAAGGCACUUCUCCAGAGGAGCACCCGGUGAUGUAUGGAAGUGUUGAAUCACUAUAUUGUACGCCUGAAACUAAUAUGACACUGUAUGUUAACUAUACUGGAAUUAAAAUAAUUUUUUUUUUAAGUUAACAUGUGGGGCAUCUGGGUGGCUCAGUCAGUUAAGUGGACAACUCUUGAUUUCGGCUCAGGUCAUGAUCUCAUAGUUUGUGAAAUUGAUCCCCUCGUUGGUGUCUGCACUCACAGCCUGGAGCCUAUUUUGAUUCCUCCAGCUUCUUCUCUCUGUCCCCCCCCAAAUAAAUACAUGUUAAAAAAAUUGAACACGUUGGGGUGCCUGGGCAGCUCAGUAGGGUAAGCGUUUGACUAUUGAUUUUGACUCAGGUCAUGAUCCCAUGGUUUGUGGGAUCGGAGCUCUGUGCCAGGUUCUGCGCUGACAGCAUAGAGCAUGCUUGGGAUUCUCUCUCUCUCUCUCUCUCUCUCUCUCUCUCAUUCUCUCCCCCCUCUCCCCCCCGCCACUGCUCCCCUCCCACUUGCUCUCUCCCUAUCUCUCAAAAUAAAUAAAUUUUCUUAAAAAGUUAAAAAUUGGGGCGCCUGAGUAGCUCAGUCGGUUAAGCGUCUGACUUCACCUCAGGUCAUGAUCUCACAGUUCGUGGGUUCGAGCCCCGCGUCGGGCUCUGUGCUGACAGUGAGAGCCUGGAGCCUGUUUUGGAUUCUGUGUCUCCCUCUCUCUCUGCCCCACCCCUGUUCACACUCUGUCUAUGUCUCAAGAAUAAAUAAAUAUUAAAAAAAAUUUUUUUUAAAAGUUAAAAAUUGAACAGGUGUUAUCUUAUGACCCAGCAAUUCCACUCCUAGCUAUAUACCCAAAAGAAUUGAACACAUAUAUUCACACAAAAACCUAUACACGAAUGUUCAUGGUAGGAUUAUUCAUAAUAGCCCAAACUUCUUCCAUUAAUUGAUGAAUGGAUAAACAAAGUAUAGUAUAUCCAUACAAUAGAAUAUGACUCAGCAAUAAAAGUGAAUGGAGUUCUUUCUGAUGCAUGAGACUACGUGAAUGAAAUUUGAAAAUAUGCUAAGUGAAAGGAGCCAGUCACAAAGACAGAAAGUAGAUCAAUGGUUGCCAGGGGGUGGGAUAUAGUGACUUGUACACUUUAAAAGGUGAAUUUUUGGUAUGUGAAUUACAUCUCAAUUUUAAAAAAAUGUUUAUUUAUUUUUGAGAGAGCACAAGUGGGGGAGGGGCAGAGAGAGGGGGACAGAACCACGAGAUCAUGACCUGAGCCAAAGUCACACACUCAAUGGACUGAGCCAUCCAGGUGCCCCAUCUCAAUUUUUAAAGAAGGAUUACUCUUCUCCUGGUCAGUCCCAUCUUUAUACUACCCAGAGUACUUUUUCUGGUUUGACUCUAAUUCUCUCCUAGCCAUCCCUCUUCUAGUCCCCCAUCCUGCCCCAAAUCCUCCAGCAUAUUUAGAACCCUCGGAACAUUUCCUGGUAUGAAUAGGAACUGGGACCUCACUUCUCUUUCAAGAGAGCUAUACUCUUUUGCUUGCACGGUUAUUUUGUUCAGUAAAGGACCUGUCUUGUGGACUCAAAGGGGAUAGGCAGCAGGGGACUGAAACUAAUUCACAAUUUUGUUUAAAUUUACUUGUCAAAGGCAGAAAUAUUCAAUUUCAUGUAUAGUCCCAAUUCCCUGCCCUGGGAGCAGAUUCCCAGGAAGCAAUUAUGUAGAACAAAAUGUAAUGGGUAAUAGGGGGUGCCUGUGAAUUAUUCAUAAUCCCGUAAUGAUUUUAGCCCAUUUUUUUAACAUUACCUGCUAUUGGUGUUAGCUCUGGAAAGUUCCCAAAGUAAGCAGCACAGAGGCUUCCUUUAGUUAUGCUUAUAUAACCAUAAACCCUAGGACUUUCCCUAAACCAUCUGAAUAAUGAAAAUUGAAAGAGGACUUGGAUCCCUUUUCCUCCCCAAGUCUAUAAAGCAAAGGUAAAUGCUGCCUUAUAGACUUCAUCUUACUCACCCAUCAGUCCUCCUUACUAUCUUCUCAGAGAGGUUGACAUGGCAUAAUGCCCAGCCGAGUGCUUGGCUCCAAGAAAGCACACAAUACUUACUUGGCUUGGAUUAUUUGAAUAAAUGAAUGAAUGGUGGAAAGAAUGAGGUAUCUGUAGUAAAGAGGACUUAGGCUAAGUAGUUUUGCUCUUUACCAGCUGUGUGAUUUGGGCAAGUGCCUUGCUCUCGGUUUUGUUUUGUUUUGUUUAAUCUGUAAGAUGGAGAAAAUGAUACCCGCUUUGUGGGGUUAUUACAUAAGUGUUCAAUAAGCAGUAGCUGUUAUUUUAGUCUUUCUUUCUAGUAGCAGAUUACCCCAAAUCUGGUAACUGAGAGUCAGUCAAAGCUUUCUUAGGAUCCAAAAGUUCCCAAACCUGAUUAAUCACUUUUUUAAAUAUAAAUUUCCAGAUUCUACCUCUGGAGAUGCUGACUUACUAGGAAUUGGAUGGGGGCCAAAGGAGGGAGAUAUAUAUAUANNNNNNNNNNNNNNNNNNNNNNNNNNNNNNNNNNNNNNNNNNNUAUAUUAAAAUCUAAUACAUAUAAUUAUUUUAUAUAUAUUAUGUUAUAUAAUAUAUAAUCUAUAAAAUCUAUAAUAUAUCUCUAUAUAUUAUCUAUAAUCUAUAAUGUAUAUCUAUAUCCACAUAUAUAUUUUUUAAUCUAUAUAUAUGUUAAAUUAAGGUAAAAUUUACCUAUGAGGAAAUGCACAGAUCUUCAGAGUAUAAUUGGGUGAAUUUUGGCAAAUGUGUGGGUACAGAGCAUUUCCACAGCCCCAGAAAGUUAAAUCAAUCCCCAUCCUGCCUAGAUCGCCGCUGUUCUGAUUUCUAUCACCAUAGAUGAGUCAUUCCUGUUCUUGAACGCCAUAUCCGUAGAAUCAUAAUCAUGCAGUAUUCACUUUCUGUGUCUGUUUUUUUUUCCACUUCUCAUAAAGUUUUUGGGAUUUAUCCUUUUUUCUUGCUGAGUAGUAUUCUACCCUAUGGCUAUACCUCAGUUUGUUUCUCUCUUUACCUACUGACGGGCCUUUUAGUGUUGUUUUCGGCUAUUAUGACUAAAGGUGCCACAAAUAUGUUUUCAUUUCUCAUGGGUAAAUACUAAGGAGUGGAGUUGCUGUAUAAUAGCACAGGGAUAGUUGAAUUUUAUUUAUAAAAGCCCUUCAAGUGAUUCUGAUGAUCAGCCAGAUUUGGGAAUCCCUGAGGUAGUGGGGAAGGUCACCCCUGACGACUGAUGAUUUGUUCACUUUUUCUUUCAUUGUGCAAGUAUCCUUUUUCACCAGGGAAGUGUUAUCUCUUCUCCCUCUCUCACCUGAGGAGCCCAGCCCUCCUCUCUCUUGCUUGCCAGUGCCUUACCAGAGAAGAGAGUUCCAGCCGAGGAUCCCCGUGAGUCUCUUGCAUUAUGUCAUCCAAAUAGUUCCAGGAAGCAGUGCCGGUGAAGGGAACUGGAGGAGGCUGCCAGCCAGCAAGACUUGCUCUGACCUUGGGAUCGCGUGCUUAGGACGAAAGGCCAACCUUCCCAUCAUUUGAGUUAGCCGUUUCCACUUGGCCACAGCAGUCCCACCACCUAGCACAGGGGCAGGCCUGGGCUACUUGGGGACUGUGGUCUUCAGUAGGCCCUGUGGAAAUCCAAGGGGAGAGCAGUGGGCGGGGCUCUAUAGAUUCCUCAGCCUCCAGAAACUAAAAUCAGAGUUGGGUCCUGUCACCCGUGAUGGGAAAGAAAAAGUUGUCAAAACAUGACCAUUUUGUUCCAAGGGUCAUGCUGGCUGUUGGCUUAGGAAUGACAAAUUUUUUCCUUUCUGAAAUUCCUUUUCCUUUUGAGGAUUAUUAGCAUUUCACAAUAAGGGUAAAGAGCAUUCUCAAAGUUAUGCUCCAAUUCAGUGUUUCUCAAAGGUGGUUUAUGUGUAUGGUACUCAGGAAGGUUUCAGGGAUUAUACAGAUGAGUAUAAUUAAAAAUAAGUAUUUGUCUUAGCACAUGGUAAAAAAAAUUAAAAUAGCACAUUAAAUAUGUGAUAUCGUGGAUAUAUUGCUUAUCAUGAAGCCAAGUUAAAAAGGUAAUUCAACAUAUUAAUGUUGAAUUCAGUGUAUAAUAGUACAGGUGAUACACGGGUGUGGCAAAAAGGACAAAGGUACAGAGGAGAGGCCAGGGUUUAGAAAACUGCCUCUGUCGAGCCAUGCAUUUGAUGGAUGAGAAACCAAAGGCCCCAAGAUGCAAGUGACUUGAGCAAAGUCACACCUUAUCAGAACUAGGACCAGAUCCCCAAACUUACCUGGUUUGUGGCCCAGUGCUCAUUCUAUGAACUUAGUACUUCCCUUUUGUAAGAAGAGGAAAGGAUCUCAGUGACUAUGUAGCCUAGCCCCUAUAUUCAAAGUCAAAUGCAUUUGCAGAAACAGCCUGCAGUUUGAUGAGACCACAAAGUCAGAAGGAGUCCAAUAAUAGGUCAGGCUCCAAGAAGUCUGAGAUAAUGAGAAGAACCUAGACUUAUAAGGAAUGAACAUCAAGAUAUUUGUAACUCUCCUCAUGUGAAAUCUUUGGGGGAGAAUAGGACAGAAGCAGAAUGGACAGUUGUUUUCCCUGUCUCUGGCUCCCAUCCCUCCAGAACAUUCAAACUGGUCUCUAAGACAAGGCUUGCUACAUGAGUGCCCUAUGUGGGCAGACUACCCCUGCGUAGGUUUUUUGAGGCCAUAGAGAAAGAAAGCUCUGAUUGUUCACAGAAAUAGCUUCAGGCAGCGGGAAACAUGUAAGGGCACGGCUUCCCAGAUGACUGUCAUCUUUGAAUCUUCACAAAUCCAGUAGGGAGAUUCAGAGGCGGCAACUCUGUCAGAAUUCUAGCAUUUGCGGAUCCCCACCCCAGUGAGAGUGAAAAAGGCAGGUCCUGGGAAUGCAAGCAUGGAACUGCACUUUCUCAGCUGGAAAAUAUAGCUGACAUUGGGUGAGAGGGUCUGUGUUACCCUUUCUUUUCUCUGAAUGGGAUCUUGUGUCCCUUGCUGAGGCAUCACUAACCUCUACAGUCUGGGAGCCAUUCAUUCUUCCUCUGUGUCACCCUCAGGAUGUUGAGCCAGUGUAUGACCUGCUGAGCCCAUCCCUCAAAAGAUAUCUGAGGGAUAAGCAUGCAACCCCAUCUAACAUCAAAGGAGACGUGGUAAGAUAUACCACAUGCAAGUUUUCCUAACCUUACACAAGCUCAGCACUGAGGGGGAUAGCACAUUAUCCUGAGGCCAAACUAGGCUCUGUGAAUGAACCCCUCCACCCCGACCUCCUGUCCUUGCUCUGGCCAUUGGGAAUAGGACCCCUAAGAAUUUGCUGGUAGAUAAGCCAAGCAAAUAAUGACUGUUGAAAACCUCUCCUGACUUCUGUAGGCUCAGAAUGAAGGCUCCUCUCCUCCUCCUCCCCUCCUUCUUCUUCUUCUUCUUCUUCUUCUUCUUCUUCUUCUUUAUUAGAGAGAGAGUGUGUAAACAGGGGGCGGGACAGAGAGAGAAGAGAGAACCUCAAGCAGGCUCCAUGUCUAGCACAGAGCCUGAUUCAGGACUCGGCCUCAUGAACCCUGAGAUCAUGACCUGAGCCAACAAGAGUCAGACACUUAACCAUCUGAGCCACCCAGGCACCCUAGAAUGAAGGUUCUUUAAUUUAGCAAAGCACAUUCACAUGUUUUUAGGAGACACCAGAGUCAGUUCAGGAAUGUGACUUGAGUGGAGGUAGAAAGCUGAAUACCUCUGCGUUAGAAAGUAAUAAGGAAUUUCACGGUUCCUGCUGGGAGUUCCAAGAGAAAGGUCAAAGAGGAAGGGAAAUCAUGUGAUUUCCUCAUAGUAAGCACUAAGGAUAGAAGGCACUGAGAAUUGUUUCAAUGUGUGGAGCAUAUGUUGGUCUUCUUCUGAGCUAUGGAGUGUUUCCCAUCUGUUACCCCCUAGGCCUUCAGUCAAACCUGCUGUACACAACAACCAGAGUUAGUGGUGACUUUGGGUCCUGCAUGGGUUUGGUGGGACUACACAUGAGGGUCACAAAGAUAAGAUGGGCAGAGAAGUCCCCGGAGCAGAGUGUGACCUUGAGUUGGGACUGAACCAGGCCAUAGGGGCAAAGUUACCUCUCAGGAACAGAACUGAGACCAUAAAAAUAAGAAACCAGGAGUGUGGGGAGGGGGUGGAGGGGCACACACUUUGAUGGGUCUCCCUCUGUGAGGAUGGUCUGGACCCUGGUACUGUCUGCCUUUCCCAACUACAAAGAACUCAGCAGCCUCCUUGUUAGUACUCUGAUCCUAUCCCUGGCCUUGGCUGGUUAGUCAGGCUGGGAACUUCUGAUCCAGGCCAACAAGUGGCCUGGAGUUACAGUCUUACGGUCUUGAAAUGGGAGAAUGCUUGAGGUCAGGCUGUCUUCCAUGACUGCGGCUGGGAAAAGUAAAGCUCACAGGAUCUGUCAGCAGCCAUGCUGCCUGUCUUGUGGGAAAAGCUACUGCAAAGAGAAGGAAGGAAGCUGACUGCCAGAGAGAGGGAAAAGAUGGUGAUAGAGUCCUGAUGACUUUGGGGCCUCAGACUCCCAGUUGCAUCAUUGCCUAAAUAAAAAUCCUUUUCCCUAAGUUUAGUCUCUGCCACUUGCAUCCAGAAAUGCCCUCUGGGCACCAAGCACCACUUCCUCCCCCCUGCUUCCUCAGGUGCGCCCCUCCCUCUGGAAGUGAGAAGCUUAGAUGAGGACAGAGGAAAAUGUCCAUUCCGGGACCAGAGCUCCUCAGCCCCUUUCUAUUUUCACUACAUUUCCCACUCCCCAAGUCAUGUUUGUUUACCUGUUUACUUUUAUCACCCCUUUCCCCUAGGAAGACGUGAAGUUCCAUGCUGAGUUGUUUAACAUGGUAUCCCCAGUGCCUGGAACAUAGUAGGUGCUCAUGAGUCAUUGAACAAAGAAAUCUGGGCUUAAAAUCAGGCCACCAUAGACCUCCUACCAGGUCACAAUUGCAGCAGAGCUCGGUGCUAGACACUGAGUCCCGGAUGUUUGAAAUUUGUGUGUCCAAGUUAUCUGCCCAUCAGGUGCACAAGUAUGCUGGAGGCAAGGCUGGGCACACAAUUGGUGCUUCAUAAACCACAGAUAAAGAGCCAGCAGCCGAGCAUGACAAAGGGCUGCGGGGAGGAGAAGUUCAAUGCAGAUUACAAAGGUUUCAUCAGGAGCAGGGAAUUGAAAGGCAGCUGUAAUUAGAAAGCGUAGGCAUUCAAAACUGCCUGGAGGUCAGAAGGGCUGGACUGGCAGGCUGGGAGCCUGGGCAGGAAAUGGACACGGAGGCACCGCAGUUCUGGACUGACAUAAUUGGACAGAGACCAGCAGCCAGUUGCCAUGGUAGCAGCCAAUCCACGGAGUGCUUCUGUGGCAAGGAGUCAAGGUUUCUAAAGAAGGGGCUGAAAAAGCUGCCUUUGUUCCCACUCUGAGCUACUUGCUGUCAGAUCCCUGCGGGGGUGAUGUGGCGUGGGGCCAGAGCCAACAACUGCUGGCCACGGUGGCCGGGAGGGGGCCACGUGAGGACUAACGGGGCUGGCUGGAGUUGGGGACGCAAAAUGUGUCAUUCCAUGUUGCUGAUUUUGCCUCCUGAUGCAGAGCGGUGGCCAAUGGCUUGGGUUUCAGAGUCUGAGAGUGCAGUGUGCAGAUGGCGGCUUGGCCUCUCGGCCACUGUGUGACUCCAGGACAGAUCAGGCCUCAGUUUCCUUGCAUGUAAAGAGGGACUAUAAUGCCUUUCUUUCAGGGUGGAUGUAAGGAUUGAGAGAGGUGAGGCACGCCCCAUACUUACUCAGAGAGUGGUAAAUAAUAUUGUCAUUAUUUUGACGAAUGUUACAAACUGCUUCACGGCAGCUUGCUCAAAGGGCUGUUAGCUUCUGGGGAUUUAAAAAGCCGGUUUGCCUUCGUCAGGGGGACCGAAAAGACAGCCAACAGAGACUGGAAAACUCCAGGAGAUGACCGUUCAGACUAACGAUGUUGUAUUUAAAACGAAAACAUACUUGAGACUGUUUUGAGAGUUAUGUGCCAUCAGAGAAUCCUUCUCCUUUGUUCUUCUGGCCAAUUUGUGGGCCUGGACAGGAUACAGAGAUGAGGCCUUCCUUCCACAGCGGGAGAGAGAAAACAGAGGAGAGGACUGUGAAGGGAGAGCUUCCUCUGAUGUUCCCAUGAGGUAGGGCUGGAGGGGCCAAGGAGAGCGCUUUGCUUAGACCAGGUCAGGCCAGAGGCAGACAGAGCAAGGGCACAACUCUGGACUGAGCCCCCCUUUUCCUCGCCCUCACAAAAGUGCUGGGAGAUGCACACAUCCCUGUUGGACUCUGGUGCAGUCCUUUGUUGCUAUGGCAACUCAGUGGGCUCUCUGGUGGGUGGAAGAAGGGCCGCGCUGCAUGGAAAUCAGCAGUGGAGGCAGCAACCCUGCCCUUUGGCUGUGCCAAUCAAGGCACUUGUGAGUGGUGGGGAGACAUUCCCUCUCCCGUCUCAGGAGGCCAUGGGAGGCCCUGGGACUUCGGGACCUCACUCCUGGCUCCAACCUACGCCUGUCUCACUGUGAGGCUCCAGGCUCCAGUAUGGAGAGAUAGCUCCCACGGGACCCUCCUUUGGCGUGUGUCUUCCAAUUACACACUCCUCUGGAGAUUUCCUCUUCAUUUUCUUUGUAAAUGUAGUCGUUUGUCUGUUCACCCAUUAGAUACCGUGUGGUUACUGUGCAUCCCACGGGGUGCAGGGCAGUGAACAAGACAACGUGCCUGCCUCUGCGGAGCCCCCUGUUUUGUGGGGAGCAGACAGUAAACACAUCCACAAGAAGAGACCUGGAAGGUGAUAUGCAGGGUGGUUUGAACCAGAGAAAUUGGAGGGGUGGGCUGAUUAGAGUGGGUGGUCAGGGGAAGCCUCUCUGCCCUGCCGUUGGCAAGCUUAGCGGGACCCACCGCGGCAGCUGUGGCCGUGAGGUGUGCUCCAGGAAGGAGAUGGUGCAAAGGCCCAGAGCGGGUGGCAUGGUGGUUAGAGGAGGAGAAGGGGGGUGAGUUGUAAAGGCCCCAGAAGACAGAGCUGGAGAAGCAGUAGGAGGGGAUUGGCCAGAGUCUUGCCUGCUUUGCCGUGGAGCUUGGAUUUCACUCUGAAGGCCACAGGAAGCACUGAUGGGUUUUAAUCAGGACAGGGAAAUGGUCUGGUUUAUGUUUUUGAAUGCCUCUGCUAGCCUGGUGGACGAUGGACUGCCGCAGCGGUGGGAGUGGGGGUGGGGGAGCCCACGGUGUCCUGGCUCAGAGUACUGGGGCUGUAGAAUCUGCAUGUAACCCCAGCCGGGUUUGGUGGGAGCCUAAGGGUGGGGGUAAGGGAAGAGUGAAUUCAAGGGUGACUCCCAGAUGUCUGCCUUGAACCCCUGGGUGGAGGAGGGAUGAUGGCAGAGAGUGAAGGGGAGGGACUGCAUUGAAUCUCGGUUCUGUGGCCUGGAUAAAGCACACUUAAGUUGCCCAAGACCUCUUUUCAUGCUGGCCAUGAACCUCCAAGAACUCAUGCAUUGCAUAAGCAACAGUUGUAAGGAGUAAAGCUGAAAGGGAGCUUUUCUAGAACCCACUAAUGGAGAAGAAAACACUUCUUUUCAAAACCUCCUGAUGGUAAAAAUAAAAUCUUAAAAAAAAAAAAAAAAAAAAAGCAGAGGGGGGUGGCUCCUGGCUGGCUCAGUCGGUAGAGUGUGCAACUUUUGAUCUCAGGGUUAUAAGUUUGAGCCCCACGUUGGCUGUAGAGAUUACUUAAGAAUAAAAUAUUAAAAAGAAAAAACAACCACACAACUACCUGUUUGGUGGUAGAACUCACUUAGGCCAGUAACUGCUCUUUCGAGAGGGAAACACCUUGAUGGGUCAUUUCCCAGUGUGAGAGGUGAUAGCCUCAUGGAUAUGAUAUGAGCUAAUGUACCAGAUGCUGUGCUGAGGGCUUUAAAUACAUUCUAAUAUAGCUUCUGUUACAUAAUAAGCAACUGGAGCUGAGAGAGGCUAUGUAACUUAUCGAAGGUCACACAGGAAGCAAGUAGCAGAGUUACUGUUAACCAUGCUGUAAAAUUUCCAUGCCAGGUAAGAAUAAAGCAAUAGGAAUUGAGCAGCUAUUCCUUGGCCAAUGAAAUUUAAAAGAUGCCAGAGGGCCCUUGUGAGAGAGGAGAUAACCUGGCAAGUUGUAGGGGCCUGAGAAGUUCAGCCAGUGGCUCCUCCCCAAGGUACAGUGGUCAAGGAGUUUUCCAGAAGAACGAUGCCUGGUAUUUGUUGUAAUGUGUUUCCUGUUCACUAUUGUGCUGUGAUCCCUCUCCUUUACCAGCAAACCUUAGUGAAAUUGUUGGUGUUGGGAUGAUAAAGAAGGAAGAGUUGCAAUAAUGAGCAUGGGGGGAGAGGCAAGAAUAGAGAAGCCCCUAGUGGAUUCAAGAACAGGACAGGGACAGAAAGUGACCAGGAAAACACAAGUGACCUUGGAAUCUUCAGAAAUCCUGGGAAGGGAGCUGCCUUCCCAUAUGCUGUGAAAGAAGCCAGUUGAUGUGGAUAUUGAAAAAUUAGUAACAACCUGAAUGCUCAUCAAAGGGAAGAUCCUUACAUCAACUACGAUACAUCCAUACAAUAGAAUCGUAAUGUGGUGGUUACAAAGGACAAAGUACCCACUCCAUACUCUGAAGUAGAAAUAGGGCCAAGACAAAAUGUUAAAUGAGAAAAGCAACUUGUACGGUGUAAAGAAUAUGAUUCCCACGUAGGAAAACACACCAAAACAAUCUUCCCCACAGAGCAAAAGUCUUAAAACACCCAAGCUACGGUAGACCCUUCUGUGUAGACAGUGAACAUGUGUUUGGGGAGUCAAAGGGGCUGGCUUUUUUACUUCAACUGAAUUGUUCAAACGUUUUUUUCCACAGAAAUAUAUUUGUGCAUUUCCUAUGUAUUAAAAAUUAUUUAGGGGCGCCUGGGUGGCGCAGUCGGUUAAGCGUCCGACUUCAGCCAGGUCACGAUCUCGCGGUCCGUGAGUUCGAGCCCCGCGUCGGGCUCUGGGCUGAUGGCUCGGAGCCUGGAGCCUGUUUCCGAUUCUGUGUCUCCCUCUCUCUCUGCCCCUCCCCCGUUCAUGCUCUGUCUCUCUCUGUCCCAAAAAUAAAUAAACGUUGAAAAAAAAAAAUUAAAAAAAAAAAUUAUUUAAAAGCUCUAAAAAUAAGCCAGUGUCGGGGUGCCUGGGUGGCUCAGUCGGUUAAGCGGCCAACUUCUGCUCAGGUCAUGAUCUCACGGUCCAUGGGUUCGAGCCCCGCAUCAGGCUCUGUGCUGACAGCUCAGAGCCUGGAGCCUGCUUCCGAUUCUGUGUCUCCCUCUCUCUGACCCUCCCCUGUUCAUGCUCUGUCUCUCCCUGUCUCAAAAAUAAAUAAAAUGUUAAAAAAAAUUAAAAAAAAAAAAAGAAAAAAAAUAAGCCAGUGUCCCUGAGUGAUGUGCAGAGGAGGGCUGGUGCUGAUUGUCUGACCCCAAGUACUGCCCUGCUGGUCCCGGACAGCAACUGCCUUUCUCUAGAUGAUGAGCUCCAGGGUCAGUGAACAUGAGUAAAUAUGGGCCCAACUCCCCAGCCCCAAGUCAGACAGUUUUGUUUUAGUGGGAACAAAAUCCCUCAGGCCCAAGAAGAAUCCCAAGGACACAGCCCAGUCACUGUUCAUGACAGUCACAUGUAAUGAAACUGGGUCUCAGGAUAAAUGGUUGAGUGAAAAAGCAAGGUAGGGGGAAAAAGCAAGGCAAAGGACACUGGGAAUAUAAUUCCACUAUUUGAAUGAAAAUAAAAACUGUGAAUAUGCAGGCUAAUGUAUGCAUGGACUAUUAUGCUUCUGAAGAGGGCAACAGGGCAGCUGAAAGACAGGGAUGAGAAGGAGGCUUUAUUACAGGCAUGUUUGUACCUUUGGAAUUUUGAAAUAUUAUGUAUUGCCUAAUUUAUAGUAAGUGCUUUUUUUCUGAAAGUCUGUAUCUUUUGACCCCCUUCACCCAUUUUGCCCAGCUUCCCACCUCCCACCUCUAGCAACCAUCAUUCUGUUUUGUCUAUGAACUUACUGUUUUGUUUUGUCUAGAUUCCAUACGUAAGUAAGAGCAUAUGGUAUUUGUCUUUCUUUGACUAGUUUAUUUCCCUUAGCCUAAUGCCCUCAAGCUCCAUCCAUGCUGUUGCAAAUGGCAAGAUCUCAUUCUUUCUUAUGGCUGAAUACUAUUCCAUUGUGUGUACAUAUACAAACACAUACGCACCCAUUCUCUUUCUCUAUCCAUUCAUCCAUCCAUAGAUAUAGGUUGUUUCCAUGUCUUGGCUAUUGCAAAUAAUACUACAAUGAAGAGGAGUCAGUGUUUUCAUUUUCUUUUGAUAAAUACCCAGAACUGGAAUUGCUGGAUCAUAUAGUGGUUAUUUUUCAUUUUUUGAGGAACUCCCAUACUGUUUUCUGUGGUGGCUGCACCAAUUUUCAUUUCUACCAACAGUGCCAAAGGUUCACUUUUUCUCACCUCCUUGCCAACACACUUUCUUUUUCUCAUCUUUUUGAUAGUAGCCAUUCUGACAGGUGUGAGGUGAUAUCCCAUUGUGGUUUUGAUUUGUAUUUCCCUGCUGAUGAGUGAUGUUGAGCACCUCUCUUCAUGGACCUGUUGGCCAUCUGCAUGUAUUGUUUGGAAAAUGUCUCUUCAGAUCCUCUGCCCAUUUCUUAAUUCAACUGCUUUUUUGUAGCCCUCUUGACUUAGGACCUAGGGGCCAGCCAGUGCUAGGAAAAUACUGACACACAGGCUACUGUGUUAGGUAUUGACUCCGUUUCUCCUAAUGCACCUCAGAAUGCCCAUUCAGUGAUCCAGAAAUCAUCUUGAUGCUGUGAUAGAGCACCUCUGCAGAUAUAUGCCCUUUCCUUUCCUUUCGGGGCUUUUAAGAUAAUAAGACGCUAAUUUAUUUUUAUUUUACACUGUAGUUGGUUCAUACCACAGAAUUGACGUUUCCAAAACAUAGCUGAGAAAGCAUCCUGUUUUUGCUUGUCCAGGAGACAUAUUAUAUACCCAGCUGCUCCAGUUCCUUUGUGGAAUGAGUCAGGACCUAAAUAAAUAUACUUUGCUGUGUAUCCUAGGGAGCCUAUAGUACUUUCGCGUCCCAGUUUAAAUAUCGUAAACCACCCUCCUUUUUGAGAGUGCAUGUGCACACUGCAACACAUGCACACACACGCUUUGUCAUAAUUAAAUGGUCUUUCCAUGAGGAACUAAGGAAAAUGGGAAGCUGCUGGAGGGUUUUAGACAGAGGCAUGACCGGAUCUGCAUUAUUCAAAGAUGGCUUCCUGCGGUGUGGGAAGUUGAAGGGAACAUGGUGAGGCCAGAGCCCAAGAGGGGAGAAGAGGUGGGGAGGGAGGCUGCCACAGUAGUCCAGGCUACAAGUGAUGAGGUGGUGGGGUGGGCUUGGGGAGAUGAGAAAAGCGCUGUAUAAUUUGUAAAGUGGCUUACAUGGGGGACCCACUGUGACCACCCUACGUCAGCCCUUUGUGGCCUGAGGAGAGGGGUGCCGGGGUGGCUAAGUCAGUGAAGCGUCUGACUUUGGCUCAAGUCAUGAUCUCAAGGUCCAUGAGUUUGAGCCCCUCCUGGCGCUUCUGUGCUGACAGUACUGAGCCUGCUUGGCAUUCUCUGUAUGCCUCGCUCUCUGCCCCUCCCCUACUUGUGCAUGCACGCAUGCGCACUCUCUCUCUCAAAAUAAAUAAGUAAACUUAAAAAAAAGAAAAGAAAUAGCUGAGGAGAGAGGAGGAGGGGUCAUGCUCAGGUUGUUACCUCUCCUGCAAGUCUGAGGAAGUGAGAAGGAAACUUGAGCCCCCGGGGGCCCUGAGCUGCUCAGGGAUACAGACCUCUAAAGUGUCACUGACAACAGGGCUGGUGGAAAAGAUAUGUAGGGGAGGGCAGAGCGAGGCAGAAUUUCAGACAGAGAGGCAGGACCAUCUUCUUUUUCUCAUGUUUAUUUCAACUCAACCCAGCUCUUUUCCUCAGAGGUCUCUGGUAUUCAGCCCAUGGCAAGCUCUGGUAGAGCUGCCGAGUCACAGACGGUGACACCACGGUCCUGUAAGAGGGAGGAGGCCUGGCUUCUGGUUCUUGACGUCAUUAGUAACCUUCUUUUGUCAGCCUCGGGUUUAUCAGUUAACUUCGUUGGGCCUCAGUUUUUGCAUCUGUAAAAUAGGAUGAUCUUCCUUCUGGUGGAAUUGAAUAUGAGCUAAACAAAUUAAAUGCUGUUCGUCUUGUAACCCAGAAAGCAACAGUCUCAUAAAGUGGUGGUUUUUCAGGCUGUGCUCCUGGUGCCACUGUGAAUGAGGAGGGGGAGGUUGGGACUCUAGACAUCCGACUUUCCUGUUCAAUGAGGACUGCUCUCCUCUUCAAACUAUUGGAAUUUGAGUAAGAUUUCAUUUGAACAAAGGGUUCUGCUGCUAAAACAGUUUAAAAACCACUAUGACACAGCAUUCCUCCCUAAGCAAAUCAGAUGUCUGACCUUAACCCAGGGACGGCAAAUAAAUCACCCACCACAUCUGAAGCCUGUGCCUGCAGCAGACAUCAGUAAUCAAUCACAGGUCCUUUCCUGCUGACCCUUAAUGAAGCCUCAGAAUUACUUGCCACACAAUACUUCUAGCUGCCAGUUCCACAGUGAACAUGUGAGAUGAAACCCAUUUUCAGGGCGCCUGGGUGGCUCAGUCAGUUCCAUGUCUGACUCUUGGUUUCCGCUCAGGUCACGAUGUCAACAGUUCAUGAAUUCGAGCCCAGCAUCGGGCUCUGUGCUAGCAUUGUGGAGCCUGCUUGGGCUUUUCUGUCUCCUUUUCUCUCUACCCCUCCCCUGCUUGCUCUCUAUCUCUCUCUCAAAAUAAAUAAAUAAACUGAAGAGAAAGAAAGAAAGAAAGAAACCCAUUUUCCACCCUUAACUUUUCAUUGUAGGUUGACCCUGAGCAUUCAGUUGAGUUGAAGACAACAACUGCUCUAAACUUGAUUUGGAUAAAAAAGUUUGAAAGCAAGGUUGAAGUGUUUGCUUUUGUGUCAGUCCCUUUGGGCUGCUGUAGCAAGAUAUACUAGGUGGCUUAAGUAACAGUUAUUUAUUCCUCAGGGUUCUGGAAGUUGCAAGUCCAAGAUCAAGGUGCAGGCAUGGUAGGGUUCCGGUGAGAGCCCUCUUCCUGGUUUAUAGAUGACACCUUCUUGCUGUAUCCUCACCAGGAAGAGAGAGAGAGAGAGAUCGUCUCUCUCUUGUGACUCUUUUUGUAAGGGCACUAAUCCUAUCAGGAGGGCUCCACUUAUAUGACCUGAUUUCUCAAAGACCCCACUUCCAGGACCACUGGGGAGUAGAGCUUCAACAUAUGAAUUCUGGGGAGACCCAACCAUUCAAUCCACAGCAGCUUUCAGAGAUUUGUUUCACCAUCACAUAUUUAAGAAAAUGUUACUUUUUAAAUGCUAUUUAUUUUUGAGAGACAGAACAGGAGAGGGGGAGGGACAGAGAGAGAGGGAGACACAGUAUCUGAAACAGGCUCCAGGCUCUGAGCUGUCAGCACAGAGCCCCACGCGGGGCUCGAACCCACGAACUGUGGGAUCAUGACCUGAGCUGAAGUUGGACAUUUAACCAACUGAGCUCCCCCCUCCCCAGCCCCACAGAUGUUAUUUUAUUUUAUUUUUUUUUAAUUUUUUUUUCAACGUUUAUUCAUUUUUGGGAGAGAGACAGAGCAUGAACGGGGGAGGGGCAGAGAGAGAGGGAGACACAGAAUGGGAAACAGGCUCCAGGCUCUGAGCCAUCAGCCCAGAGCCUGACGCGGGGCUCGAACUCACGGACCGCGAGAUCGUGACCUGGCUGAAGUCGGACGCUUAACCGACUGCGCCACCCAGGCGCCCCUCACAGAUGUUAUUUUAAAAAGAAAAAUUAUUUAUUUAUUUUGGAAGAGAGAGAGAGAGGGAAUGCACACAUGAACACGUGCCUGCAAGCAGGGGAGGGGCAGAGAGAGAGAGGGAGAGAGAGAAUCCCAACGUGAAGAGCCCUACUCUGGAUUCGGUCCCAUGAACCAUGAGAUCAUGACAGGAGGUGAAAUCAAGAGUCAGACACAACCGACUGAGCCACCCAGGCGCCUCAAGAAAAUAAGAUGUUACUUUUGAUCAUUUACAGACAAUCCUUUAUCCUAGUGUGUCCCACCCUCCUCUCAUUUUGCCUGUGCUUAUCAUACUCAUCCUUUAAAUCCUAAUUCAGAUGCCUCCUAGUUACCUUCUCCAUGAAGAUGAAUUUUCUUCUCUGAAAUUUCCCAGUGUUCUACUCGCUUUGCUCAUGGCAUUUAAUGCCCUGUAGUGUUGGGUUGUGUUUUCUUUGUUUUUGUUGUUGUUGUUGUUGUUGUAAAUGUCUUGUGUUUCCAUUUAGACAGUGAGCUCCCUUGAAAUCAUGAUUGCCAUCUCAAUAGAUAUUUGUAUUGUUUCGGGAUAGCCCAGUGGUUAGUAUUUGCCAAGAGAAUGAAUCAACAUAAGGAAAUCUGAGUACUAGCCCAAAAGGCUAUUUCAUUUUGUUAAAACUACCAGUUGAAGCACAGUUAAGUUCUAUUGGGAAUUGAAAACAUUUGCUAAAAUGUACGUUCUAGGAAGACAGGUGAUCUUUGGUUUGUUCAUGUUUCAUUCAUGUCUAGAACAAUGUCUGGCAUACAGUUGGCCCUCAAUUUAUUUUCGUUGAAUGAAUAAAAGCAUGAACAAAUUAGGGUUUGAGAAAAUACAGUAGCCUGACAGUGACUUCUCAUGUGUUUAUCUCACAGGGGGUAAGGCAUUAACUGAUUGACAAGGUCUAGCCAGUUUGGAAACCAGCUGGACAAAUGCCUGGUUAUUUCUACGGAAACGUGCACAUUUCACAUACUUUUCCAAACAGGUAAGUAUUGACAAGAGAGUGUUAUGUAAUUGAGAUGUGACCUUCACCUCCAACUGGGAACUUAUUUAUUCUUGCCUUGUGGAAAUCUGGGUAGAUAUAGUCCUUUAAAGGAUGAAAAUACUCUGCAUAUUUUAAAUUGUAUAGUUGUUAUCAAAAUAGCUCCUGAAAAUUCUGUGAUUUUUCCUGUGUUUGGCAAAUGUAGAUUUCUGUCUUCCAGGGCCAUUCUGCCAAGAGACCUGCUAUCAAAUUUUCAAUUUCUCUUUGCUUUGAGAAAUUGUUUGAUAAUUUUCUUUACUUUGAUAGUUUGCUUUAUACUGCUGAUUGUGCAAGAACUCGUUGAUGGAGAAAUCCACAUUUGGAGUGAUAUGGUGUCACUCCCAAUCUCCAGGCAAAAUAUUGACAUCAGAAAGGUGGCUUUUUAUUUAUUAUUAUUUUUUUAAUGUUUAUUUUAUUUUUGAGGGAGGGAAUGUGCACGCAUGGGGAAGGGAGGGGGGCGGACAGAGGAUCCAAAGCAGGCUCCUUGCUGAUAGCAGACAGGCUGAUGGGGGGCUCAAAUUCAUAAACCAUGAGAUCUUGACCUGGGCCGGAGUUACAUGCCUAACUGACUGAGCCGUGCAGGUGCCCCAGAAAGGUAGCUUUUUAAAGCCCGAUCUUUGUAAUCCACUGUUUGGCACGUAGUAGGUGCUUGGCUAAACAUUGAAUCUGUGCAUUUAGUCCUUCAAUAAAUAUUUAUCCCAUGCCUGCCCUCCACUUGAGGUUACCAAAACUAAUUCAGGUUUUAAGAACAUUACUAGUGUUGUCUUUCAGAGUCAAUUUGUCUAAUUAACAUGGGCAUGCUAUUAUUUUCUUGACUGGCCUGGGACUGCCAAAGGGUUCAAUUAAAGCAGUAAAACUGAAGAGAACUUGAUCUUCCUUUAACAUUUUUUUAUCAUCAACAGGGGCUCAGUUCUAUAUUCAAAAGGCUUGGGUAGGGAUUUUAUUGGGCCCUUUGCCUACUCUAACUAGUAUAUAACCAUUAACUGGUUAAUCCAAAUAGGCCCUCAGGGAGGCCUGGCAGAGCCAUUAUCUUUACAUUACUGAAAGCCAGGUGGCUUGUUCAAGGCUGCUGUGCGAGGUCAGAGCUUGUGGCAGAGUCGAGUCCAACCCUUCUUUGCCAGGAUUGGUCACUUGCUUCCUCCUCAGGCAUUUGCACAUCUGUCUUUAUUUUUCCCAUGAAAGAGGAGCUCCAUUGUGCCACCUUUUAGCCUUGCCCACCGGUGACCUCAUUCCACUAUCCUCUCUUUUGGUGAAAAGUCUGGCCCCUGGAAGUGAGACUUGGAUGGCCUUCUAUUUCAGAAAUCACCCUUAAUUGUUCUGCAGGCCUUAGUAACUAAAGCUUUGGUGUCAAGCAACUUGAGUUCAAAUCUUGGUUUCAUUGCUUAGUAACCCUGUGACUUCAGGCAAGUCACUUAAUAUUUCUGAAACCUCAGUUUCCUCCUCUAGAAGUUGGGGCCGUUGAUGAUAGUACUAACCCAUGGCAUUGUUGCAAAAUCAAAUGGCAUAAUGUCUUAAGGGCUUAGCACCCCUGCCUGGCACGUAAGAAAUGCUUCAUGUAUAGUAGCUAUCAAUUUACGAGGCAGCCAUCACAAACUGCCUCUGGGCAGAAAAGUUAGAGACUUCUAAACUCGUCACAUCUUGUCUUUUCAUCCAAACCCUUCUGAAAAAUCAAUAGCCAGAAUAGAAACUAGCCUCUCCAAGUGAGGUGGAGCAGAUCUAACCUGUAUAUACAUCUGUGUUGGCUAGAACUUGGGGGAAUAAUACAUGUAAUGAAAAAGAAAUAUGUCCUUGCACUGCUUACUUACCUGGAUGCAGCGAACUGAAAACAGAUACACUUUGGAGAGGUGCAUUUAUUACCUUUGGGAGGCUGAGCUGAAGUGCAACCAAGCAACCAGGAUUUUGACAUUUAUCUGUUUUCCCGAUGCUUUAUGGACUCUGUAUAAAACCAGUCUAAUGACCUUCCUACCAAGGCUGAACAAUUUGCUGAUGGAGCUGUAGGUUUCUGUGGGCCUUUUGUGUGUGUGUGGCUUUAAUUUCAUUUCUGGAAUAAAGGAAGUGCAAAGACAUUAACUCUGGAUCCAUCAAAGAAAGAACUCUGUAAUUGCAUUUUGGCAGCAAAUGUGCUUGAGCUAUGUGCACUUUGAAAGCCAGCGAUGAUUAAUCCUGCAUAUUUAGCUGAGUCCAAGAGCAGACACACUGUAAUGAUAACGGCAUCAACCAAGAGAAUGUUGUUUGAUCGUUACAGACUUGGGUCUGCUGUGAUGUACGUGAGUAGCUGCAUCAACCUGAUCUCAGCCAAGAAAUCUAGAUCUGCGUGUCCACCAUGAUAGCCUCUAGCCACAUGUGGCUAUUGAGCGUUUGAAAUAUCGCUGGGCCGAGUUGAGAUGUGCUGUAAAUGUAAAACACACGCUGGAGUUCAAAGAUUGAGUAUGUGAAAGAGAAUGUAAAAUAUUUAUAUAUUGCAUAUGUUAAAGUAAU
Molecule: long non-coding RNA, 23618 nt
Filed under: Lynx pardinus (Iberian lynx)
Lineage: Eukaryota; Metazoa; Chordata; Mammalia; Carnivora; Felidae
Rfam family: tRNA (bases 4855-4939)
Source: RNAcentral